GAGAAAGACAAGAAAGAGGGAGACAAGAAAGACAAGAAGAAGAAGAAGAAAGAGAAAAGGGGGGAAGGAGAUGAGAGCAGCAGCAGCAGCAGCUCCUCGGACAGCGAAUCUGAAGAGGGUCAACACGGUGACAAGAAGAAAAAGGAGAAGGAUAAAGAAUAACUUCUUAGGAGCCAGUGGGGGCCACCUUUGUGUUUCCUGCCUUAGCGAAGGAGAAGAGGAUCAGUUGUGCAAAAAAUGCAUCUGGAGUUGAGGUUGUUCCAUCCAAAUAAAGUAGUUUUGAGCAUUA
Molecule: non-coding RNA, 289 nt
Organism: Pelodiscus sinensis (Chinese soft-shelled turtle)
Lineage: Eukaryota; Metazoa; Chordata; Testudines; Trionychidae
Source: RefSeq, a predicted model, not a curated record